Molecule: RNA transcript, 764 nt
Organism: Fragaria vesca subsp. vesca
Lineage: Eukaryota; Viridiplantae; Streptophyta; Magnoliopsida; Rosales; Rosaceae
Exons: 2
Source: RefSeq, a predicted model, not a curated record
CUCUAUUAGAAAUUUAAAAUGCUAAUUGGUCUGAGUUUUCCAGUAAGAAUACGCCCUUUUCUCCAAUUGCUACAGAAAAAGAAGACAAGACUUGCUUUUCAGUUUAAAGAUCAAGAAAUAGUAUGAGGAAAACGUCCUCACUGGAUGAGUUUCAAGAGCCGUGCAUCUUCGCUUGUUGCGGUGACACCGUAUCAAUUGGCCAUGAACUGGGCGUUAAUCGCGUAGCCCCCAAAUGCAUUGAAGGAGCUGCGGUGAAAUUGGAAUACAACACCAGGCGUGGUCAUUUUAAGUCGACCCUUGCCUGAGGUUGAUUUCGUAGGUGCAACUUCUUAAUAGCCCGUGUAAGUACACUUACUUGUCUCCAUUGAUUGCUUUGAAUAAAUAUAUAUAAUCAUUUUGUUGAUUGCAUAUGGCAUGACCCAUGUGGUGAUCUCAAUAUAUUUCUAUGACCGGGUUUGUGAUUAGUCGCUUGAUUUCGUUUUUAUUCAUGGCCUGAUUGCAAGAACCACCCUUUUGCAAUAACAUAUUGUUCUAGCAGCUACUUGUUGACUUGUGAAUUCUAUGGGAGUGUAAAAGAAUGCUUUGAGUAUAAAAUACAUUUUUGCUUGAUGUUUAGCAUGUGCGUUUUGCGUAAGCUUAUGUCUUUGCUUGGCUAAUUCACUGCAUAGGCACUUAAUUCAGGAGCAAUGAGCAUGACAGUAUACCUGAUUUUGUUGUGGUGGUAGUUGACACUAGAGAUAGGUGCAGGAGCUGUUGAAGGAUGG